Molecule: long non-coding RNA, 1163 nt
Organism: Poecilia latipinna (sailfin molly)
Lineage: Eukaryota; Metazoa; Chordata; Actinopteri; Cyprinodontiformes; Poeciliidae
Exons: 5
Source: RefSeq, a predicted model, not a curated record
AUGGAGGAGCGUCAGUAGGACCAGUUUCUUUUUGUGUUUGGUAAAAGUCCACAAGAUAUUCCUCCAUUAGCGCGAGAUGCUUGUGUUUCUUUCAGAGGUUGGACCAAGUCAGUGUUUUGUUUUCAGAAGGCGCGGUGGGCAGCGCGCUGCAGCGGUCCUCUGCAUCUGCUGUUUUCAUCAAAGUUUGGGAGACGGAGACCUCAUUCUAAGCUAAUUUUUACUUCUUCCGGUCGGCUAACGGUAGCUAGCUACAAGCUAACAUGUUUAGCAUGUUGAAGUCAAUCUGGAGCUCCUUUUUGAGAACCAGCUGUUCAGGUGGAAGAACCUGUUCAUGGAAGAACUGUACUUCGUACUCUUCACCAUCCUGACAUGAUUGUGACCCGUUCAGAGUCCGUACUUCAGGCUCAAUGGCCGCUGGAUCCUGGGAUGACACGCAGCGACGUAAUAGACCGAGUUGGGUCAAGACACAGGAGUCAAAAAAAGAUGGCCUCCCUGUUGUCAUGCUCACAGCGAAUUAAUUAAAGCGUCAAGGUUCAUGCCUCAACAAAAGUGGCUGCUAAAGCGCUAAUUUAUGUUACAGCUUUGCAUUUUAAAGAGUUAAUCUUUCCUUGGACCUUAAAUGAAAGUUGGCUUUGUUCUUUGUGGCAUUGAUUCAAUGUUCCUCUGGGAUUUUGGUUGGUAUCGACUUGGCAACAUGAUGCAUUUUUAUGUACUACAAUUUGUUUGUUCCUCCACAUCCUGGCUAAAAUUGCUCCACUGGACUUAAUGAUUUAGAGCAGUCUUUCUCAAACUGUGGUCCACUGGCACCCCCUAGUGGUGUGCGAGGUACUGCAGUGGGUUCACUCUACUGACUCAGUAUACUUCAUUAUGCCUGGAUAGAAUAUUAUAUUUUUUCUACUUAAGUAAAAAUUGACAUACUCUUUGGUUUCUUUAGACUGGUCUAUAAGUAGAUAGUUCUGACGUAUUUGGCGAUCCUCUCAAAUUAUAAAUGUUAUUUAAUAAAUAUUUUUUAUAUACUUUUAUGUAUUUUAAUCAAAUUUUUUCCCCGUCUAAAACUGUUAAGUUUAACAGUUUUGCCACAAAAGCAAAAAACAAAAAAGUUAUUUAUGUCUCUCUAACUUUACCUGUUUGUGGAAAUUCAUCAAUAAACAUCUUGAAAAACU